AACGAACGCUGGCGGCAGGCUUAACACAUGCAAGUCGAACGAACACUUCGGUGUUAGUGGCAGACGGGUGAGGAACACGUGGGAACAUUCCUUUCAGUUCGGAAUAACUCAGGGAAACUUGAGCUAAUACCGGAUACGUCCUUCGGGAGAAAGAUUUAUCGCUGAAAGAUUGGCCCGCGUCUGAUUAGCUAGUUGGUGAGGUAACGGCUCACCAAGGCUACGAUCAGUAGCUGAUCUGAGAGGAUGAUCAGCCACAUUGGGACUGAGACACGGCCCAAACUCCUACGGGAGGCAGCAGUGGGGAAUAUUGGACAAUGGGCGCAAGCCUGAUCCAGCCAUGCCGCGUGAGUGAUGAAGGCCUUCGGGUUGUAAAGCUCUUUUGUCCGGGAAGAUAAUGACUGUACCGGAAGAAUAAGCCCCGGCAAACUUCGUG
This 433-nucleotide ribosomal RNA is filed under the name uncultured organism. RNAcentral's name for it is "bacterial SSU rRNA". It matches the Rfam family "Bacterial small subunit ribosomal RNA", at positions 29 to 507 of the family's 1533-position model. The record is from RNAcentral.